GAAAUGCGAUAAGUAAUGUGAAUUGCAGAAUUCAGUGAAUCAUCGAAUCUUUGAACGCACCUUGCGCUCCUUGGUAUUCCUUGGAGCAUGCCUGUUUGAGUAUCAUGAAAUCUUCAAAGUAAAUCUUUUGUUAACUCAAUUGGUUUCUACUUUGGUAUUGGAGGUCUUUGCAGCUUCACACCUGCUCCUCUUUGUUCAUUAGCUGGAUCUCAGUGUUAUGCUUGGUUCCACUCGGCGUGAUAAGUUAUCUAUCGCUGAGGACACUGUAAAAGGUGGUCAAGGUAAAUGCAGAUGAACCGCUUCUAAUAGUCCUUUGACUUGGACAAUACUUUUAUGAUCUGAUCUCAAAUCAGGUAGGACUACCCGCUGAACUUAAGC
Molecule: unclassified non-coding RNA, 378 nt
Filed under: plant metagenome
Description: partial contains 5.8S ribosomal RNA, internal transcribed spacer 2, and large subunit ribosomal RNA
Rfam family: 5.8S ribosomal RNA (bases 1-105)
Source: RNAcentral